RNAcentral lists this ribosomal RNA (342 nucleotides) under Melinna albicincta. RNAcentral describes it as "partial large subunit ribosomal RNA". It matches the Rfam family "Eukaryotic large subunit ribosomal RNA", at positions 42 to 378 of the family's 3401-position model. Lineage: Eukaryota; Metazoa; Annelida; Polychaeta; Terebellida; Melinnidae. The record is from RNAcentral.
AUUACUAAGCGGAGGAAAAGAAACUAACCAGGAUUCCCCUAGUAACGGCGAGUGAAGCGGGAAGAGCCCAGCGCCGAAUCUCCUGUCUUCGGGCAGCGAGAACUGUGGCGUUCUGGACGUCGAUUGUCAAGCGGUUCCGCCGUCCGAGUCCUCCUGAUAGGGGCUUCACCCAUGGCGGGUGUCAGGCCUCUACGGCCGCGGGCUGUUUGGCUGUAGGCGUCCUUGGAGUCGGGUUGUUCGGGAUUGCAGCCCAAAGUGGGUGGUAAACUCCAUCUAAGGCUAAAUACUGACACGAGACCGAUAGCGGACAAGUACCGUGAGGGAAAGUUGAAAAGAACUUUG